Molecule: long non-coding RNA, 542 nt
Filed under: Fukomys damarensis (Damara mole-rat)
Lineage: Eukaryota; Metazoa; Chordata; Mammalia; Rodentia; Bathyergidae
Description: lncRNA (ENSFDAG00000026773.1)
Source: RNAcentral
GGUCUGUCCCGGAGCUGCCAGGAGCCACGUUUGCUGCAAGCCUGGCUACAUUGUCCCCGUGUUCCCGUGUGUGUGUGUGUGUGUGUGUGUGUGUGUGUGUGUGUGUGUGCAUGUGUUCUGGGGACUGAUUCCGGAGCCUUUACACUGAGCUACAUCCCAAACUCUUGUUAUUUUAUUGGGCCUCAGGGCCUCCAGAGAUCCCAAGUCUGGCCUCCCCCUAUCCUCCCUUCUGCAGGGGACCCUCUGGGCCUGGGGAAGGGCUGGCACAGCACCCCAAGGCCUGCGUGGUGGCCCAGCUCCAGCUCAGAGACCUGAGGAGAGAGGCCCACGCUUCUCCCUGGCUCCCACUCCCCAGGCAGGACCACAGGUGCGAGGUCGACCUGUCCAGCCUGGGGCGUCUCGUACCCCACAGUCACAGUCUGUGCUUGGACAUCAGUGCACCCCAGAACCAGAGCCGGCUGUGCCCGAUCCCCACAGAAAGGACGCCAGGGAAGCUAAAUCAGGGACAUCAAGAGCAUCCAGGCGGCACCUGCAGCUGAGGC